This 567-nucleotide ribosomal RNA is filed under the name Yunzhangia sonckii. RNAcentral describes it as "eukaryotic LSU rRNA". The stretch from base 173 to 326 matches the Rfam family "5.8S ribosomal RNA". Lineage: Eukaryota; Fungi; Basidiomycota; Microbotryomycetes; Chrysozymaceae. The record is from RNAcentral.
UCCGUAGGUGAACCUGCGGAAGGAUCAUUAAUGAAUUUAGAGUAACUCUUUGAGUGCUCAACCCUUCAUUUCCCACUCUGUGCAUUUUUGGGCGAUACAAGGUGAAACUUGUUAUUGCCCCCCUUAUAUAAACCCUAGUUAAAGUAUGUAAUUUAAAUAUAAAAUCUAAAAAAACUUUCAACAACGGAUCUCUUGGCUCUCGCAUCGAUGAAGAACGCAGCGAAAUGUGAUAAGUAAUGUGAAUUGCAGAAUUCAGUGAAUCAUCGAAUCUUUGAACGCACCUUGCACUCUUUGGUAUUCCGAAGAGUAUGUCUGUUUGAGUGUCAUGAACUCUUCAAUUGGGUACUUUUAUUAGUAUUCAAUUUGGUUUCUGGAGGUUACUCUUAACGAGUUCCCCCGUAAUGAAUUAGCCAAUCUAGCCUAAACUCGAGAUUGACUCUGUGUGAUAGACUAUUCGCAGAGGAGAGUUUGUUGGUAGGCUUCCAAUACAAUGUCUACUUUAAUUUAGACCUCAAAUCAGAUAGGAUUACCCGCUGAACUUAAGCAUAUCAAUAAGCGGAGGAAAAG